This 253-nucleotide ribosomal RNA is filed under the name uncultured bacterium. RNAcentral describes it as "partial 16S ribosomal RNA". It matches the Rfam family "Bacterial small subunit ribosomal RNA", at positions 524 to 776 of the family's 1533-position model. The record is from RNAcentral.
UACGGAGGGGGCUAGCGUUGUUCGGAAUUACUGGGCGUAAAGGGCGCGUAGGCGGCGCGGUAAGUCACUUGUGAAAUCUCUGAGCUUAACUCAGAACGGCCAAGUGAUACUGCAGUGCUAGAGUGUGGAAGGGGCAAUCGGAAUUCUUGGUGUAGCGGUGAAAUGCGUAGAUAUCAAGAGGAACACCUGAGGUGAAGACGGGUUGCUGGGCCAACACUGACGCUGAGGCGCGAAAGCCAGGGGAGCAAACGGG